GUGAAUCAUCGAAUCUUUGAACGCAAAUUGCACUCUCUUCGGAGAGUAUGCCUGUUUGAGGGUCAGCCUAAAAAAAUCGACAUAGUUGCUGUUUCGCGGUGACAUUCGUCGGAAAUUGGGUCAUCUUAAACCUUUGGGUUUUAAGCGGCUUAAAAUUUUCUUUACGAUUCCACGAACGUUUCUAAGAUUUACUUCUUUCACGGUUUAAGGUUUCGUCUUUAUUUAGC
This 227-nucleotide unclassified non-coding RNA is filed under the name Glomus sp. RNAcentral's name for it is "partial contains 5.8S ribosomal RNA and internal transcribed spacer 2". The stretch from base 1 to 65 matches the Rfam family "5.8S ribosomal RNA", at positions 84 to 154 of the family's 154-position model. The record is from RNAcentral. Lineage: Eukaryota; Fungi; Glomeromycota; Glomeromycetes; Glomerales; Glomeraceae.